RNAcentral lists this long non-coding RNA (2192 nucleotides) under Callithrix jacchus (white-tufted-ear marmoset). Its description in RNAcentral is "lncRNA (ENSCJAG00000072559.1)". The record is from RNAcentral. Lineage: Eukaryota; Metazoa; Chordata; Mammalia; Primates; Cebidae.
AUGUGGGGGAGGAAAAGCAAGCGAGUGAGAAAAGGCUGUGGAGCCAACUUCACAACCAGGCUCUGGAGCAAGCCACAGAGCUUGGUGUUCCUUAAAGUUCUUGCACGCCUGGGGAAAAGGGGACACCCAGGGAAAACUAUUGGGCUUCCUCUUCCUAAAAAUCCGAAUCCUAAACCCUACAAGUGGAAAGGUGAAGUUCCCCAAACCCCACACGCUCCGGGAGCGCACCUCUCACGGAAGGCGCCCACCUCCCCGCGCGCCCUUGGGCAGACUCAAGACUACAAUAUCAACUUUUCCCUGGGACACCAUCCUGCUGGCCUGUCCUACACAUUCAGACUUGCCAGCCUCCACAAUCAUGUGAAGAGACUGACUGAUAAGAGUAAAGGGAAAUGAAAUGGCUUUAGCAUGAAGUGUGCAGAGCAUGGUGUUGGUUCUGUUUAGCUUCAGGGGCUCUCUCUUCCCCAUCUUUCCUUUUAGCCCAUUAAUGUCACGUUGCAUUUGAGGCUGAGCCGUGUUGCACUUUGCUUGGAAGAAGGAAUGUAAGCUUCUUUUAUUAAUGGGUAUCAUGUUGUCCUGACCUUUCCUUGUUUUUUUUUUUUUCUUUCUUUCUGAGGAAAGAUGGCUAGAAUUUUGCAGAUUCUGGUUCAAAGUUUUACUUUUUGACUUGUUUCAAAGUGGAACAAACCUUAUAUUCUUUAAAGUUUUGUUUGAUAACCAAAUCAUCUUCAUUUCAGCACUGUUCAAUAGAACUUUCUAUGAUAAUGGAAAUAUUCUUCCAUGCUGUCUAAUAUGGUAGCCACGUGUGGCUAUUGAGCUCUUAAAAUGUGGCUAAUGUAACUGAGCAACUGAAUUUUAAAUUUUAUUUGAUUUUAAAUCAUCUAAAUUUAAAUAGCCACACAAGGCUAGAAGUUAUGUUGCACAGCACAUAUCCAAGUGAGUCUCCAAACUUCAAUUUGCAGUUUUUAUUUGUUUGUAUGUUUAUUUAUUUUAUGACAGAGUUUUGCUCUUGUUGCUCAGGCUGGAGGGCAGUGAUGUCAGCUCACUGCAACCUCUGCCCCCUGUGUUCAAGCGAUUCUUCUGCCUCAGCCUCUUGAGUAGCUGGAAUUACAGGUUUGUGCCACCAUGCCUGGCUAAUUUUUUGCAUUUUUAGCAGGAUGGGGCUUUAUCAUGUAGGCCAGGCUGGUCUUGAACUCCUGAUCUCAGGUGAUUCCCCCACCUUGGCCUCCUAAAAUGCUGGGAUUACAAGCAUGAGCCACUAUACCCAGUUCAAACUUACUUUUAACAAGUAAAAGCAAGUCUCUUUUCAUAUAGUGACUUAAUGCUAAAAAAUAUAAAUCUUGACUACUAUAUGAGGUCCUUGGACAGGCGCCAUCAGUCUCCCUUAUGAGUUUCUUACACAUGUAGAAUCUCAGGCCCCACUCUAGACAUACUGAAUCAGAAAACUGCAUUUUAACAAGAUUCUUGGUUUAUGUACUCAUUAAAGUCCAUAAGAAUUACUGACAUAAACUGUCCAUACAAACACUCUAAGCUCACAGAUAAAGGUGGGGAAAAGCAGUGAAGAUUUUUUUCUGAAUUGCUUGCAUGGUGUAGCCCCCAUAUAUGGGCAAAGGGCUACCACCCUGGUCCUGGCAUGACCUUUUUAGGGCAAGUGUUAGAAUCUCUCUAUGCAUGCUUUUGGUUUUUCAAAAUGUUGCAUCUGCUCACAAACUUCUGAUACUUUUUCUUGUUUAAAAAAAAUAGGGUAGCAUGUUUGAAUCCUAGGGAUUUCUUAAAGUGAAAAAUCACUGCUCCUGAAUAAGUAGUCAGUUGUGCCGUGUGAUAUGUGAUGUGGUUCAUUGGUAAAAUAAUUUUCCAAAUUACACAUGAACAUCUUAACUGUUUUUUUACUUAUUAUCUAUCAAAUAAAUUCUAACUUAUUGAUAACAUUAAAUAUAAUCAGUGUUUAGUGUUAUAUAUAAUUGUGACUCCCACAUACCUGACACUGUUCUGUUAUUAUUUUGGGGAGUGAACAUUGCAGUGUGUAUUAGAGACUGGAGGUGGCUUACUAGUCCACAAUCUACAGACACAUUCAGUAUGUUCCAAAAUCAAUUCUGAACUACUAAACUUUUCUGACACUAUGGUGGGUGUCAUAUGAAGCAACUAUGGCAAAGUCAUCCUAGCUUUUCAGGGCAGAACCACAUAAUAGGCAGUAG